Molecule: ribosomal RNA, 234 nt
Filed under: Triticum aestivum (bread wheat)
Lineage: Eukaryota; Viridiplantae; Streptophyta; Magnoliopsida; Poales; Poaceae
Description: partial small subunit ribosomal RNA
Source: RNAcentral
AUGGCUAGCUUUUCGAAUCAUGUUAAACGUUGUGGCUUAAUAGACAUGGGUUAUAAUGGUCAUGUCUUUACUUGGUGUAAUAAGCGUUUUUCUUCCAUGCCUACUGAUGAGCAUCUUGCUCGUUGCUUUGCUAAUGCAGAAUGGUGUAAUGAGUUCCCUAAUACCGUUUACAACCUUCCAAUUAUGUAAAAUGAUCAUGCACCAAUUUUAACGACAUCCAUACCGAUGAUGUAG